AGUGAACGCUGGCGGUAGGCCUAACACAUGCAAGUCGAACGGCAGCACAGUAAGAGCUUGCUCUUACGGGUGGCGAGUGGCGGACGGGUGAGGAAUACAUCGGAAUCUACUUUUUCGUGGGGGAUAACGUAGGGAAACUUACGCUAAUACCGCAUACGACCUACGGGUGAAAGCAGGGGAUCUUCGGACCUUGCGCGAUUGAAUGAGCCGAUGUCGGAUUAGCUAGUUGGCGGGGUAAAGGCCCACCAAGGCGACGAUCCGUAGCUGGUCUGAGAGGAUGAUCAGCCACACUGGAACUGAGACACGGUCCAGACUCCUAUGGGAGGCAGCAGUGGGGAAUAUUGGACAGUGGGCGCAAGCCUGAUCCAGCCAUACCGCGUGGGUGAAGAAGGCCUUCGGGUUGUAAAGCCCUUUUGUUGGGAAAGAAAAGCAGCAGGUUAAUACCCCGCUGUUCUGACGGUACCCAAAGAAUAAGCACCGGCUAACUUCGU
This 491-nucleotide ribosomal RNA is filed under the name uncultured bacterium. RNAcentral's name for it is "partial 16S ribosomal RNA". It matches the Rfam family "Bacterial small subunit ribosomal RNA", at positions 29 to 506 of the family's 1533-position model. The record is from RNAcentral.